AGCAUGAUCAGUAGUUAAAGUAUGUCUUCAGAACUUGGUUUAAAUGAGACUUUAGAGUCUUGGGUUCACAGGUUCUGAGUUUGUCUUUUAUCAGAGUCUUGAUCAAAACUAAUCUUGAUCAACACUUUCAGAGUUGAUGACUUGAUAUAGACAAUAAUCCUUUGAAGCAGAAUCUUCAAAACUGCUGAUGAAGCUUGUUCAGAAGUUGCAGAGGCAUUCCUUAUGACAUAGUCUGCUUGCUUCAAACUAAUU
Molecule: long non-coding RNA, 252 nt
Filed under: Lathyrus oleraceus (garden pea)
Lineage: Eukaryota; Viridiplantae; Streptophyta; Magnoliopsida; Fabales; Fabaceae
Description: Pisum sativum (pea) long non-coding RNA (PSAT_LNC025457)
Source: RNAcentral